RNAcentral lists this long non-coding RNA (2468 nucleotides) under Canis lupus familiaris (dog). Its description in RNAcentral is "lncRNA (ENSCAFG00805012147.1, ENSCAFG00845016717.1)". Lineage: Eukaryota; Metazoa; Chordata; Mammalia; Carnivora; Canidae. The record is from RNAcentral.
GAUUUGUGCUUGAGUGAGAAUGCCAGACUAUGGCACGAGGGCAAGAGACCUGACAGCAGUAACAGUGGUGACAGGAUUGGUGAUGACAACACUGUCAACAAAUACAUUUUCAGUGGUUUCUAUAAGCUGAGUAUCUUACUAUAUUUAGUUCUCACAAUAAUUAAAUUGUGAGAUUAUUAUUCCUAAUUAAAGAUGAGGAUAGUGAGACAAUGGGCACUGAAUAAUGCACCAAAGUCACAUAACUAGUAACAGAGGUAGCCACGAUUUCAAUUCAGGUAUUGUGAUUUCAGUCAUCUAGCCUGAACUUAUUUAUUUAUUUAUUAUUAUUUUUUAAGAUUGUAUUCAUUUAUUCAUGAGAGACACAUGGAGAGGCAGAGACACAGGCAGAGGGAGAAGCGGGCUCCCUGAGGGGAGCCCGGUGCAGGACUAGAUCCCAGGACCCCGGGGUCACAACCAGAGCUGAAGGUGGAUGCUCAACCACUGAGCCACCCAGGUGCCCUAAACUGUUAUUUAAUGACAUCUCCAGAAAUUAAUCUAUUAUACUUAGUGGCAACUCUUCAUUCAGCUACAAAUAUAGAACAGCAUUUUUUUGAAUUGUAAGUAAAGGGGAGCUUAUUAAAUAUGGUUAGGUGAUCACUUAUCAUAACAUAAUUCUAGAUUUUUAAGUAAUGCAAUAUUUAUAUUUUUAUUAUAUAUGCAUAUAGAUGCAAAUUUAUCUGUGCACAUAAGCAUAUACCUGUAAUCUCUCUCCAUACACACACACACACACACACACACAUAAAUGCAUGUGUCUAUCUUCUAUCUACCUAUUGUCUAUCACCCAUCUUUCUAUCCCUAAUAUACAUAUAUACGCACAAAUACUCCUACAGACUGACAUACUCACAUAUAUGGCUAAGGUAUAUGUAUGAUUUAACAGACAACUGUGUGGUUUUAGCAAUCAACUGGCUGGGUGGUUGGUGGGUAUAGACCAUUGACAUUAUUUUAUUAAGUUCAUGAUUAACUCAGUAAAUAUUAGAUAAAAAGUUACCAGAUUUUUCUUUGUUCCAUAUAAAUGGUUGCUAAUAUGUGGGAUUUCAUUAUGACUUUAAAAUAGUGAACGCUUGUUAUCUUUUUACUUAGAUGUUUCUGGAUUUGUAUUUUUUUUGACAUUUUGUAUGACUUAUUUUUUCUCAAGUUUUUUAUAUAAAUUGUAUUUAACUCAUUUUCUUCAAAUUAAUAUUUGUAUUCUAGUCCUUUUGGUUCCCAAACCAGGAAGGCACGUAAAUUUUAACUUGAAUCAGCAUUCUCUCUCCUCCACACUUAAGUUUUUGCUUUUAUCUCCACUUCUUCUUCUUCCUUGUCUGCCCCCAGUCUUCAUCCUGUAUUGUAUAUAGUGAAAUCCUCUCAUUAUUCCAUAUCCUAAAGUUAUUUUCCACAAUUUCAAUUUUCAUUAUGAUUUCCAAUGUAGUUUUAUUUUUCUCUUUCAACUUUAGUCUCUUGCUUCCUUUUUUGUUAUGUUGUUUUAUUAAAAAAAAAUCUUCCUUUUCUUUCUCUACUAUGGUCUUAUGCAUCUGUUUCUUCAUUUUCAUGUCUUCAUGCAUUGUGGUGAUGCAUUUUUUCCUAGUUCUUUAAGCUAAUGUGAAAGAUACGCUCUUUAUUUUUCUUCUUCUUUUAAGAUUAUUUAUUUAUUUAUUCAUGAGACACACAGAGAGGCAGAGACACAGGCAGAGGGAGAAGCAGGCUCCAUGCAGGGAGCCCGACAUGGGACUCGAUCCCGGGUCUCCAGGAUCACGCCCUGGGCUGAAGGCGGCGCUAAACCGCUGAGCCACUCGGGCUGCCCCCGCUUUUUCUUUUUCUUAUAUGCUUCAGAAUUAUUGUACUCUUACCACUUUCUGCUGAAGAUGAAGUCAGCCAAUAUUAAAAUAAUCAGGAGUAAUAACGGCAUAAAAAUCUUUUAAAUUUUAACAAUAUUUUACUACAUUUUUAACUUUAAACUGUUGUUCUGAGAUGCAACAAUACAAAGAAAUUUAAGGGAACAGACACAAAGCAAUAAUAAAAAAGUGUUUUAAGUCUUCAAAUUCAUAACAAAAACUAUUACUUGGCAAUUUAGGAUAGUGGGAGUUAUGCUCUAAAUGUAUCUUCUUUGCAUUUACACAAAAUAUCAGAUCUGACAUGAAGAAAUGAAUAAGGUAAAACAUUUUGUUUUGGAUGUAAGUUAUAUAAAAUCUCAAAACUACAUAUUUUACAAUAAAAUUCAAAUCAUUCUAGUACCUAUUUUUCUAUAAGAUAUUUUAAUUCCUUUACGUCAUUUGCUUUAUAGUCCAUCCUUGGAGGUAGCGACAGAAAUUCAGUUUCACCUAAUAAAGCCAUUUAUUUAUCUCCAAAUUGUAAGCUACCGCUAAAUUUUCCCUUUACUCAUUUUUCUUGUGCAAUCUAGUUUAAAGGUAGUAAAGCAUAAAACCGCAAACAAACCAAAAAAAAAAAAAAAA